AGUGAAUAGAUACCCCGGUAGUCCACGCCGUAAACGAUGAGUGCUAAGUGUUAGGGGGUUUCCGCCCCUUAGUGCUGCAGCUAAACGCAUUAAGCACUCCGCCUGGGGAGUACGGUCGCAAGACUGAAACUCAAAGGAAUUGACGGGGGCCCGCACAAGCGGUGGAGCAUGUGGUUUAAUUCGAAGCAACGCGAAGAACCUUACCAGGUCUUGACAUCCCGUUGACCACUGUAGAGAUAUGGUUUUCCCUUCGGGGACAACGGUGACAGGUGGUGCAUGGUUGUCGUCAGCUCGUGUCGUGAGAUGUUGGGUUAAGUCCCGCAACGAGCGCAACCCUUGAUCUUAGUUGCCAUCAUUUAGUUGGGCACUCUAAGGUGACUGCCGGUGACAAACCGGAGGAAGGUGGGGAUGACGUCAAAUCAUCAUGCCCCUUAUGACCUGGGCUACACACGUGCUACAAUGGACGAUACAAACGGUUGCCAACUCGCGAGAGGGAGCUAAUCCGAUAAAGUCGUUCUCAGUUCGGAUUGUAGG
RNAcentral lists this ribosomal RNA (534 nucleotides) under uncultured bacterium. RNAcentral describes it as "bacterial SSU rRNA". It matches the Rfam family "Bacterial small subunit ribosomal RNA", at positions 773 to 1304 of the family's 1533-position model. The record is from RNAcentral.